GACGAACGCUGGCGGCGUGCUUAACACAUGCAAGUCGAACGGAAAGGCCCUGCUUUUGUGGGGUGCUCGAGUGGCGAACGGGUGAGUAACACGUGAGUAACCUUCCCUUGACUUUGGGAUAACUUCAGGAAACUGGGGCUCAUACCGGAUAGGAGCUCCUGCUGCAUGGUGGGGGUUUGAAAGUUUCGGCGGUUGGGGAUGGACUCGCGGCUUAUCAGCUUGUUGGUGGGGUAGUGGCUUACCAAGGCUUUGACGGGUAGCCGGCCUGAGAGGGUGACCGGCCACAUUGGGACUGAGAUACGGCCCAGACUCCUACGGGAGGCAGCAGUGGGGAAUAUUGCACAAUGGGCGGAAGCCUGAUGCAGCAACGCCGCGUGCGGGAUGACGGCCUUCGGGUUGUAAACCGCUUUCGCCUGUGACGAAGCGUGAGUGACGGUAAUGGGUAAAGAAGCACCGGCUAACUACGUG
This 468-nucleotide ribosomal RNA is filed under the name uncultured bacterium. RNAcentral describes it as "partial 16S ribosomal RNA". It matches the Rfam family "Bacterial small subunit ribosomal RNA", at positions 28 to 507 of the family's 1533-position model. The record is from RNAcentral.